CCGGCUCAUUGGUCUCCGGAG
Molecule: unclassified non-coding RNA, 21 nt
Filed under: Mus musculus (house mouse)
Lineage: Eukaryota; Metazoa; Chordata; Mammalia; Rodentia; Muridae
Description: oocyte_clustered_small_RNA10507
Source: RNAcentral